RNAcentral lists this long non-coding RNA (1027 nucleotides) under Zonotrichia albicollis (white-throated sparrow). Its description in RNAcentral is "lncRNA (ENSZALG00000008961.1)". Lineage: Eukaryota; Metazoa; Chordata; Aves; Passeriformes; Passerellidae. The record is from RNAcentral.
ACUGAUAAUAGCCCAAGGAGUCUACUGGAUGCUCGUAUCUGAAAGGAGAACAGAGUGUAAAUGAUCAAUGGUUGUCUCUAUCAAGCUGCAUUUAGUUGGGAUUUUUCCUUUCCAGAUUGUCAUGACUGAAGCUAGUAAAAGUUGAAAGGAGGAUGGAUAUCUGCAAGGAUAAUCAUUAAGAUCUUCUGUGCUACAGACAAGGCCACCACUGCGCCCCUGCCUCCAACUGCUCUGCUGGUACCUAUGGAAAAGGCUCUUUCUCAGAUACCCCAACUCCUUCUGCAAUUGGAGGGCAAGCUAGAAUGAAUGAGCAUGGGUUUUGGUCCCAACAUCGGAAGAAGAACCCUAAUUCUUGCUGUGGAUGGUGAAUGUGGUCCCUGAGGUGAGGUGCAGAUGGCUGUCUAUGAAAAGUUACUCUUCAUACGCUUACAAACACAGAGCCUGGGUGAUUCAGAUAAUAUCUGUUCUGCUUCCACUUAGGAGUCUGGCAAAUGAAGGACACAAAAUAAAAUAUUUUUUAAAAAUGGUGCCUAAAUUUAAGAAUAAAAUCCAUGUCUAAGCACUUAAGCACUUAAAUAUGUGGUCUGAUUAAAAAAAAAAUUGGAAUCAAGAAAACACCAGCAAGGCCAGCUGGGAGGUGAUGACUUGGAGAAUUCCAUCCCUAAUUUUGUUGUCUAAAUAAGAAUCCAGGAAUAGGGCCCAGGAUCUCAUUUUGAACAAAAUAUUUGUAUGAAUGCUGCCUAGAGCUGGAAGGAUUAAAUUGGAUCACUGAUCUCCUCUGCACUGGGAAAUCACUAGAAUUUUUUUUAAAGCACUGCUCAUGUUAUUGGGCAUUCAGAAGAUUGAAUAUGAUGGUUGGGCAUUGAAAAGACACAGGAAGGUCUGUUCUAAUCCCCAACACAAAUGUUGGAGCAUGCUACCAAGCCCUACUGCCUUGACAUAGAAGGCCCAGGUGUUAGCAACCCAGAACCAGUGUAAGACACUGCUCCUUGCACUGACUCCAGCCACCCACCAGCCUGUCUGUCCA